AUGCUCAUUUCAGCAGCACAUAUACUAAAAAUUGGAAUGAUACAGAGAUUACCAGGGCUCCUUGGCAAGGAUGACAUGUCAAUUCAUGGAGCAUUCCAUAUUUUU
Molecule: small nuclear RNA, 105 nt
Organism: Chlorocebus sabaeus (green monkey)
Lineage: Eukaryota; Metazoa; Chordata; Mammalia; Primates; Cercopithecidae
Source: Ensembl